Molecule: non-coding RNA, 220 nt
Organism: Schizosaccharomyces pombe (fission yeast)
Lineage: Eukaryota; Fungi; Ascomycota; Schizosaccharomycetes; Schizosaccharomycetales; Schizosaccharomycetaceae
Source: the annotation of a GenBank genome assembly
AAGCAAUUACCGGAUACAUUCUCAAUUUACACUUUAGGCAAAUAUUCCUCUUCGAGUAUUAACCACGUUUUUGUAAAUCGAGACUUUGGCAACAGGUUAUUGUAUUCGAAACAUAACUGAUUCCAUAAUUAAGUAAUUUUUCAAAAAACGCAGAAGCUUUGAUGGAAUUAAGGGAGUAGAAAAAAAAAACGAUUCGAGAUUUCUGUAAAAGAUUUCAAUU